RNAcentral lists this long non-coding RNA (1292 nucleotides) under Taeniopygia guttata (zebra finch). RNAcentral describes it as "lncRNA (ENSTGUG00000019001.1)". The record is from RNAcentral. Lineage: Eukaryota; Metazoa; Chordata; Aves; Passeriformes; Estrildidae.
UUCUCAGCUGGAGGGUCAUCACCUUCCCAUGCUUUCCCUAAAAUUUCACCAGGUACUGCUGAGAGCAGAUGGAUCCACCACAGCCCAGCUCCACAUUUGCAGCCAAGGACUCACAUUGCUCAUUUCACCAACCCAGCAGCAUUUUCAGUGUCAGAACACCUCUGCCUUUCCCCAUCAAUCUUAUAACUCAGAGAUGCUCUAGGACAGGUUUGCACCCUGGAUUGAAGCUCCCAGCAUUUCUGGGUUUUGUUUUCUCUCCUUCCCUGAUCUUCUCUCUGCUUCCUGGAGAUUUUCCUCCUGCAGGUGUUUCCCUGUGCCUGAUCUCUCUGUGCCAGCACUCCCAGACCCCAAAUCUCUGUGCACUCUCCUUGGCCUGACAGAACCCUGCCUGUUUGCAGGGCACUGGCUGGGGGCAGGUUCUGUUUGCAGCUUGGAGCAAGGACAGCUCAGACUGAGCCUGAUGGCUCCAGCAAAGGUGGUGCUGCUGCUGUCCAUGGGCAGAGUGGCUGAAAGCACAUUAGGGAUCUCCUGUGAACCUACUGAGCACUAAAACUAACAGUUCAGAUGUCUCAGGCACUUGUCAAAAUUCAUAAUCAACCUUUAAUAUUUAUCCCUCCCUCCCUGUCAUUCUCCAGUAGAAGGAAACUGAAUACAAAAUCUCUGGAAAUCUCAUUUUUAUCAAAUCCUUGUCUUGGAAAUAUUUUAUGACUGGUGAGAACCCUUCAGUAUUUCAGAGCUUCAUCAAAAUUUCACCUCCCCUGCACCAGAAAUGCUCAGAGUUGUACUCACAGGGUCUGUGGGCAUUGGGAUGUUCCAGCUUUAGGAGAUCACUCCAGGAGCUGCAGCUGCAUUGUCCUGCAGCCAGAGGUUCCUGUGCCAAGGGCUGGCAGUGAUUCUGCCCCAGGCACUUCUCAGCCCCUUCCCAGCCCUGACUGAUUGAAGCUCUCUGUGCCUCUGUGCUGUGCCCGGGCUGGCUGCAGGCAGUGCCCCAGCCCUGCUGGGCUGGGAGAAGAGCUGCUCAGCAAGAGAAAUGUGCUUUUGAAGCUCUGCUUGGUUACCAGGAUCACCCUCUGUGCCAGGAGCCCGGCCCAGCUCAGCAGCACAGACACAGCACAAGGACUUUAAUGACCCUCUGGGGCUUUGUGCUCAGGCCCUGAACAUCAGGCCCUGAGAGGGAGCUGCAGAAACCUCUCCAGAACUCCAAGUCAGAAUCCAACUCCAAAGUUUCUUGGACUUUUAAUGGGUCCCACUGAGGGACACGACUGAGAAAGUGUCCCCAGGCCCCAGGCAGA